UUGAUCAUGGCUCAGGAUGAACGCUAGCGGCAGGCUUAAUACAUGCAAGUCGAGGGGCAGCAGCUUUAUAGCAAUAUAGAGGCUGGCGACCGGCAAACGGGUGCGGAACACGUACACAACCUUCCUUUAAGUGGGGGAUAGCCCAUAGAAAUGUGGAUUAAUACCCCGUAAUAUUAUUGAAGUGGCAUCACUUUAUAAUUAUAGUUUCGACGCUUGAAGAUGGGUGUGCGGCUGAUUAGGUAGUUGGCGGGGUAAAGGCCCACCAAGCCUUCGAUCAGUAGCUGAUGUGAGAGCAUGAUCAGCCACACGGGCACUGAGACACGGGCCCGACUCCUACGGGAGGCAGCAGUAAGGAAUAUUGGUCAAUGGACGCAAGUCUGAACCAGCCAUGCCGCGUGAAGGGAUGAAGGUCCUCUGGAUUGUAAACUUCUUUUAUAGGGGGCGAAAAAAGGGAAUUCUUUCUCACUUGACAGUACCCUAUGAAUAAGCACCGGCUAACUCCGUGCCAGCAGCCGCGGUAAUACGGAGGGUGCAAGCGUUUAUCCGGAUUCACUGGGGUUUAAAGGGUGCGUAGGCCG
RNAcentral lists this ribosomal RNA (578 nucleotides) under uncultured bacterium. RNAcentral's name for it is "bacterial SSU rRNA". It matches the Rfam family "Bacterial small subunit ribosomal RNA", at positions 13 to 578 of the family's 1533-position model. The record is from RNAcentral.